Long non-coding RNA from Lepidothrix coronata (blue-crowned manakin), 1531 nucleotides. RefSeq lists it as uncharacterized. The transcript is spliced from 4 exons. Lineage: Eukaryota; Metazoa; Chordata; Aves; Passeriformes; Pipridae. The record is from RefSeq and is a predicted model, not a curated record.
CGGUGUGGGCGCGGCGUGUGCGGCAGGCUGGGCUGCACCGCAGCGCAUACACUACAAUGGCUGCUGGAAAGACGGGAAAGCAAACAAUUUCCAGGCCCGCCGCGUCCAGCCCGAAAUAUGGGGAAAAAAUUACAGAAAAAUCGGAGAACACUGUAAAGGGUGGAAACGGGGCGCAGAGGGGAUGCUGAGGCUCCCGCGGAUCAUCCUGAGGGGAUGCUCCACACAUUUUGACAGCCUGAGGUAACUGGGUAAAAACCCGGCAAGAAAAGGUCAAUAACCUCACCCGUGCCAUAGUGUCUGUCUGGGCCUGGGCCUGCUGCAAAGCUUUGUGUUUCAUCAGCUGUGAACAAUACCCAAGAAACGGCUACAGGAUCCUGCAGAGGCCGGAGGAGGAAACUAAUCUGCACAUAAAAAAGCUGCAGCCCAUAUGAAGAGGGGAAUUAGUAGCUAAAAGAUAGCCAUCAGAUUUCUGAAGAUAAAUGAAAGGUGGAUCUGAACCUUGAAAUUGUCAGCUCAGCAAAGGCAGAGUGGUGAAAGGAGGGUUUCCUGGAGAAUACCCAGAAGAUUGUGAUGGAUUAUGCAUUUCUGGAAGGGGACAAGAAACAGGCAAUACAAAGGUGCUAAACAUAAACAGUUGUAACAAAACACGGUUCAAGCAUUUUGUCUCCAACACCCUGCAAAACAUAGAAGAUGUUCCAUAUUGAGACCACUAUGUCAGUUGAACUGAAGUGCUUCCUGACUCUUCUGAUUCUUGUGUACAUCAUCUAGAGGAGCACUCUGUGCAUGACCUGCUUUGUUUUUAAGGUCAUUAUUUUUCAUUGAAAAAAUUCACUGUCAGCUAAAUCAGUAAAUAAAUCAAUUUUACUAAACACCCGUCUGAAAAAUAAAUGGAACACAUGACUAUUGUAAAACUCAUCUCCUCACAACUUUUUAAAAAUAAAAUUAAACUAAACAUAUCUUUUUGAUUGCAAAUUUUUUGCUAGCCUCCAGCUACUUUCCCACAGCGUGAAAGGAGCUCAAGCGUCUUGUUGGAGAGCACUUUUAGAGGAACACAUUCUACAGGAUUCACAAAAGCGUUUCCGUUUCAUGUUUCCAUCUGCCCUCCAGGAUUUCUUCCCAUAACGUGCAUGAAACGUUGAUGCAUACCAUACAUCAUAAGACUAUUUUUGUUCCAUCUUUUUUGUCACCAUCUUCCUUCCACCUUUCUGGAAGCCUGUCGCACUGGCAGUCUGCAGCUGUUUAAGGCAACAUCUUGCAUGUGUUUUUCUCCCAUUACCUAAUGUAGGAUUGAAAAUCAGGGAAGCAGAGUCUACUAAGUUGCUUUAAAAAAAAGAGGAGGGCUCAUAAGUGUCCUGGUGUCUGUGGAGAAUAAAAAUUACUUUUCAGGACAUGGGUCUUUUGUCGUAGAUCAUGCAUUAUUAGUAUUGGUGAAUGCUUAAUGUGGUAAACUGUGUCCAGCAAGAUGUGUAGAAAUAUGACAGUGUGUUGACAAAGUCUUAAGCCUGUACAUUUGGGAGAUGGAGCUGGGAUA